GUGGAUGUAGCUCAGAUGGUUAGAGCUCCGGGUUGUGGUUCCGGUGGUCGUGGGUUCAAGUCCCAUCAUUCACC
Molecule: transfer RNA, 74 nt
Filed under: Candidatus Riesia sp.
Lineage: Bacteria; Pseudomonadati; Pseudomonadota; Gammaproteobacteria; Enterobacterales; Enterobacteriaceae
Description: tRNA-His
Rfam family: tRNA
About the family: Transfer RNA (tRNA) molecules are approximately 80 nucleotides in length. Their secondary structure includes four short double-helical elements and three loops (D, anti-codon, and T loops).
Source: RNAcentral